AGUUUGUUGUACCCUGAGGAAUGCUUCAAUGAUGGCUCGGCCUGUUGGCCAAGAGUGCUGGUUCUAAUGGAAAACGAAUUUAUUACAUGUCUAAUUCAUUUUUAUUUGUUAAAUAAUAUUAGUCAACUUGCAUCUGUUGUGCCCGGACGAAUACGUUGGAAAUUGCUGAUGGUUUAGGAUUUAUUAAAAGGACUGCGCUCUGUUGUAUCUGGACGACCGUGAUUGAAUAGCAGCUCGACCCAAUGGCCAAGAGUGCUGGUUCUGAUGAAUAACGGAUUUAUUAUGCGGACUGUGCUACCGUUGUGGUGCCAGGAUUACAACUAAACUAAAUAUUUAUGGUAGGCAUCGCUAUUGAAUUUAUUGCACGGUCUGUGCAUCUGUUUUGUCUGGUUGACUGAUUGAUUAGCAGCCAUCUGACCUGAAAAGUGCUGGCUCUAAUUCAUAAUAGUUGUAUUACACAGAUUGUGUAUGGCCUUUGGUAAAGCUACAAAAUUUUCACUUCUGUUGUUGUACUCACAAUGUGUUGAUAGUUCUGUGCUGUUGGUUUUUUUUUUUAGCCAACGCUUGCUCUCCCUUACUGUUCGACAUUCCUCCAAAAUGGUAGUAUCGCAUGUCAAACCUCGAUUCCAUAAGAUCUUGCUAUUGGACAAUGGAGGAUCUUCACGAUUACUACGUGCUGUCUGCUCUCGGAGUUCAUUGAAAACAUUUAUUCCUUUUUUAAUUUACUACGUAAUUCUUUCACCAAUAUUAUUGUAUUGAUUUACGUGUGAGUUUCUCAUUAAACUGUAUUUUUCUAAUGAUAAUUAUAUCAAUUUGUAUUCCAAGUACAUUACUUCAAAAUGAACGAAAUUUUUUUAUGUGUGUGAUCGAGACAAUAAA
Long non-coding RNA from Daktulosphaira vitifoliae (grape phylloxera), 879 nucleotides. RefSeq lists it as uncharacterized. The record is from RefSeq and is a predicted model, not a curated record. The transcript has 7 exons. Lineage: Eukaryota; Metazoa; Arthropoda; Insecta; Hemiptera; Phylloxeridae.